CCUACGGGAGGCAGCAGUGGGGAAUUUUGGACAAUGGGCGCAAGCCUGAUCCAGCUGUUCCGCGUGUGGGAUGACGGCCCUCGGGUUGUAAACCCCUUUAGUCGAGAACGAAAAGGAGCUAUCGCAUAAAUCGCUCUGCUGACGGUACUCUAAGAAUAAGCACCGGCUAACUACGUGCCAGCAGCCGCGGUAAUACGUAGGGUGCGAGCGUUAAUCGGAAUUACUGGGCGUAAAGGCUGUGCAGGCGGCUGAGUAAGACAGAUGUGAAAUCCCCGGACUUAACCUGGGAACCGCAUAUGUGACUGCGUGGCUGGAGUGCGUGAGAGGGAGGUGGAAU
Molecule: ribosomal RNA, 337 nt
Filed under: uncultured bacterium
Lineage: Bacteria
Description: partial 16S ribosomal RNA
Rfam family: Bacterial small subunit ribosomal RNA
Source: RNAcentral